GUGGGGAAUAUUGGACAAUGGGCGAAAGCCUGAUCCAGCCAUGCCGCGUGUGUGAAGAAGGUCUUCGGAUUGUAAAGCACUUUAAGUUGGGAGGAAGGGCAGUAAGUUAAUACCUUGCUGUUUUGACGUUACCGACAGAAUAAGCACCGGCUAACUUCGUGCCAGCAGCCGCGGUAAUACGAAGGGUGCAAGCGUUAAUCGGAAUUACUGGGCGUAAAGCGCGCGUAGGUGGUUUUGUAAGUUGGAGGUGAAAUCCCCGGGCUCAACCUGGGAACUGCCUCCAAAACUGCAUGACUAGAGUACGGUAGAGGAUAGUGGAAUUUCCUGUGUAGCGGUGAAAUGCGUAGAUAUAGGAAGGAACACCAGUGGCGAAGGCGACUACCUGGACUGAUACUGACACUGAGGUGCGAAAGCGUGGGGAGCAAACAGGAUUAGAAACCCGAGUAGUCC
This 450-nucleotide ribosomal RNA is filed under the name uncultured bacterium. Its description in RNAcentral is "partial 16S ribosomal RNA". It matches the Rfam family "Bacterial small subunit ribosomal RNA", at positions 354 to 796 of the family's 1533-position model. The record is from RNAcentral.